RNAcentral lists this long non-coding RNA (12295 nucleotides) under Gossypium barbadense (sea-island cotton). RNAcentral describes it as "long non-coding RNA (GBAR_LNC023531)". Lineage: Eukaryota; Viridiplantae; Streptophyta; Magnoliopsida; Malvales; Malvaceae. The record is from RNAcentral.
AUGAAUAAAGACAUCAGUUUGAAAUAUAAUUUCUUUCAUAUUUUCACCUUUGGGUACAAAGUUAAGAGCAAUUCAACUUGCCUUACUCAAAUCCGUUUUCCCGUCAGCUUUUGCGCCAAACUUGGCAACAACAUCAAUAGCGCCUGAUUGAACUUUAGAGGCUGAAAUGAAUAAUAAUAAAAGCACAAACAUGGAAGGAACAAUAUUAAGGUGUGGUGCCAUGUUUUUAUUUGGUUUUGAAAUUACACGAAGAAUGGCUUUUCCUUUUGUUUUUUUCCAAAUAUAUAGAAAUUUUGAGAAAAUUACAACCAAUCAAAUAUAUUACUAUUUAAUCAAUGUGGAAAAGUCAUAUGGCCAAGCUUCAAUAUCUAUGAUUAGCUUGUUUCUUUAAUAUCAACUUCGCACGGUUAGAUAGUUUUGUGGUUAAUUUUUUCACAACUUUAAUAAUUUAAACUAUGUGAAAGGAUUUUAUUAUGGAAAGAUUGAAAAGCAUUAUUUUACAUUUUAUCUUCAAAAUAAUAUCUUUACUAGAUGGUGGCGAAUAUAAUUAUGUUCCGUUAAAUUUAUCAAUGUUAUUUCGAAAAGUAUAAUCCUAAUUAUUCAAUAAAAAUUGUUGAUACAGUAAUGUGGUUUGGUGGUUGACGAAGGUUCACACCAUAUUGCCGAAAGCAAUUCUGGUGGUUUCUAGCACUCUUCUCAAUCACUGUUUUCCUGGCCCUAUAAUACCUAGUCGAGCUAACGUUCGCCCUGGACUUCAGCCUAAACUUCACCCACGUAACAAUUAUUAGUGAAAACCUGAUGGGCAUUUGACUUCUCUUUCCAAAUAGAUUUACUUUUAUCUUUUAAUUUCCUCAACUUCUCUCAAGCAUCUUGUAAUUUCUUAUCUUCAUCCCCAUCUAACACGUAUCGAAUUUCACAAGGUAUGACUUUUCACCACCAACACCAACCCUUUCAUUAUCACCCUUGUAUGAAUCCUCACGUUCACCUUUACCCUCAUCCCCACCCCUCAUUCUAGAAGAUACAAACUGACCAUGAGAUAAAAUGGAUCGAAUUAGUGGGAAAAUAUUGAACCUAAAUAGAUGAUCGGCAUUCUAUGAUAGUAACCUGCAUUUGACAAGGUAAAUGGACAAAGCUUUACAAGCUUAGCUUUCGUAACAUUAUAUAUUGGGGAGAUCGAUCAUGGUACUUUUAGUAGAUUGAGUCUACAACUAAAUAAAUUCUAAUUAAGAUUUUAUUUAAGCCCUAAUUAUUUAUGUACGAUCGAUCCCUCUGCUAGCUUAAUAUAACUCUAAGUAGAUUGCAUAAUAAGAACUGAUUGAAUGUAUGGAUGCAAAUGAUAUAUUAGAAUUAGAUGGAAUGAAUUACUAUUCCAUGUAAAUGCGAUUUCAUGAGAAUGGAAAAGAUGACCCGGAAUUAAUUUAAUUCCGUCGGUUUGUUAUUUAAUUCAAUGAAUAAAUUAAAUAAAUAAGUCCAAAGUGAGGAUUAAAUUAAGUAGUUAACGUAGUUAUAUUUUGUUCAGAUAAUUAAAUUAAUUUGCAUGUAAAUUCUAGUCUGGAAAAGCUUUCAUGAUUCUAACAAAAAUUGAAUGGGGUUUUGUAAAUUAAGUAGUGGAAAUAAUUAAAUUUAAUGAAAUAUUUAAUUUCAAAAAACUUAAUUCAUGGAAGAAUAUAUGCUAUUGGGUUAGAUAAUCAUAUGGUCUUGAUUUCUUAUUUAAGUCAAGAGAGGUAGGCUCGUAUAAUUAAACUGGAGAACAAACCACUAAGGUAAGUGUGCCUCCGCACACAAAGAGAGUUAUCUCUUGGAGUCGCUGGCCAUGGGGUUAAAAAUGUCCUAGUUGGACUUUAGUUCUUCUAUAUUAUUUAUUUUACGUACAUCGGAUACAAAUAUAACUCUUGCAUAUGUUUCUUUAUCAAUACCCAAUUUAUGUAAAAAAAAACCAAGGACAAUAUAUACUAAGAGAAAACUUUGUAGAAAUUUAUUGAAAUAUUAGUUAGAUUCUAUUUUCUUUCAACUCAAAUCAAUUCUAUCGUUUUAGACUUUGUAAUUUAGAUUUUUAAGAUUAUAAUGACAUUCUUCUAAAGAGAAUAAUUGAAUUAUAGGAGUUGUUUUCGAUUGGGUGGAACACAAAGAGGUAGUUGACAUACCUCCUUGAUUAGUCUCGGUUUACGUCUUCUUUUCAGUUUUGGAUAGGACGCAAAGAGCUAGAUGCAUAGUUGCUUGAGAAGUCUCGAUUCACGUCUUGUGCUUUACUUUUUCAGUUACAUCCCACUUUCCAAGCACCUGAGUGUUCAAGAAUAGGGAAGAAAAUCGUUCAGUAGAAAGGUUGAAGACAUUGGACUACUAUUCGAAUUGAUCAAGACAAUGAAGGCAUCUCCCAAACUUUCCUUGCGACUUGGACAUCCCCUAAGCCUUGGACCACAACGAUUUAAUUUGAUCAAAUUUAUUACUUUAGAUGUCACGAUAAAUGCCCAUUUUACUAUAGAAAUUAAAACUCUAAUGUUCCUACCCUAGCUACUUUUCUAAAUGCAUUUCCAACAUGAACCCCGAAUCAGAAAAGAAACCAUGAAAAAAAAAGAGUUUCAAGCCAAACACACAAAAAUAAGAAAAAGAGACUAACCUUUGAGAAUCUAAAGGCAAAAACUACACAUCACAUCAACAAAUUUAGGGAUCUUUAAGUGAUAAUCGCAAGAUACCCAAACACUACACUUAAUCUCGAUGUAAAUAUCUCACCUUUCUAAAAAUCUUUAUACAGUUCCACAAAAUGUUCUCUCAUUCUCCUUUUUGGGGUUCAAUUUGUUUAUAUGAAAUAAUUAAACAUAAAAUGGCGUCACAUCAUUAUCGAAUAAUGUGGUUAAUGAGUCCCCAAUAGAUUCGAACAUUCGAGAAGAAAGACGCUGUGCAAGUUUGGAGAAGAAGCUUGGUAGAUUAGAAAAGCGCUAGUUUUGGCCGUGGACUAUAAAGACCUAGUAAUUAUUACUGACCUAUUCAAUUCAGAAAUUAGAGAUCAUUCUUGAUUGUGUUGGAAACAUUCGUUUAGAAAAUGAUUGUUUGGAACAACAAAAAAAAUUAAAAAUUUCUCAACCCAAGCAGUUGUCAUAUUUAUAGGGACAAACCCUUUUACCAAAAUCAUACUUGUGCUCUGGAUUAGGCGGUCUAAGUUGUUUCUCAAUAUUCUACCAACACGAUCUUCUCAACUAUUCAAAAACCUCGGCUAGUUGCUCUAAUCCAUGAAAGGAAGAAAGCUAUGAAAACUUUCUAUUGAUGUUGGAGUGGCGAAUAUUGAUGUCCCUUUAUGGGCCAAAAACUUAAAAAGUAAACAUUCAUAUUUUUAAUUUUUUUUGAAUUAAAUCUCAAUAAAGUUUUACGAUGUCGAUGCUUCACAUCGUGUGUGGUUGACCUAGCCUAUGCUCUCUAUUUAUAGAAAAAUCGCAAGAGUCUUGGUCGAACAAGAAGAAGAAAAUAUAUAAUAACAUUUUAAAAGAGAAUACACAUAAUUCUCUAGUAGGAAUAUGUAUGGGCUUCAACACCCUCUCUUUAGAGAUAGGGUUGUCGCCCAUCUUACGUGAGAUGGGGUCAUCGGGUCUAUCUCAUGUAUUUGGUGUAAUUAUAUGUGUCAUUUAGUAAUUUAAUCGACGCAUAUAAUUUAACCAACCAAAUAAAAAAUUUUCUAUUUCCCAAAAUAUUAAUAAUUUAAUUAAUUAAUUGAAAUAAAUUUUACUAAUUCCAACAAUUAAAUUUUUUUCCAAACCUAGUUCUAAUUCCGUUAAAUUCAUGACAUAUUUACCACACUAGAAUCUAUGAGUAAAUGAAUCUAAUUAUUUUGUUCAACCAGAUUGCGUUAAUUAAUUAAUUUAAUUUUUACUUCAAACACCGGUUCAGUGAUUACUAUUAAUUAAAUAAUAAUUCGAAUAAAUUAAUUUAGUCUUCAAGUCAUCUCUCUUUUAUAACGAGAAAUUCCAUUCACUACGGAUAGUGAUACAUUCGAUCCUUUUCUGUAAUUCAUCAAUUUUAUUUAUUCACCUCAUCAAUUCAAAUGCAAACCAUCAAGGUUGUAUAGAGCUAAUAGAGGGGCCCACUGGAUAUAUAAUUAGAGCUCAAAUAGUUUGUACUUAAGUGCCAUGACCGACCUCUUCUUAUUAUAACUCAUUAUGAAAACAACUCACCAAGUGCUCGUCCAAUGAAUUUUUCGUAUGUGCUAUAGCCUCAUAGGAUAUCCCCAAUCCCUUUCAUUUAUAUCCGUUCACCCAAAAUGAUAUUAUCAUAUCUCAUGGUAACCAUCACAUCUUCUUUCAUGAAGAAUGUUACGUCAACAGAAAAAGAAACAAACCAAUGAACAAAUAUAAUCAUAUGUCUAAGCACACAAAUAAUACAGGAAUAUGUUGUUCAAAAAAUUUGGACGACGAACUUUCAUUUUAAUUAAAAUCUCAAAUUUAAUAUUUUAUUUUCCUUAAAACUGCUAUGUUGGAAGACGGUUUUUAUAAAAAAUUACACGUAGAUAAAGAAAAUUUCAAUCAUUAAUUCUAAUUCAAUAUAGAAACUCAGUGAUGGUUUUGUUAUUAGGUUAAAUUAACUAAAUUUUAUCACACUUCGGCUCUUUGUAUUGAUGUGUGUAUUAAAAGCAUUGAAUUCAUAGCAAAAGUUUAAUAAUGGAAAAGAAUUAAAAUGAAAAAGAACUGUUUUUAUGUAAUAUGAAUAAAUAUAUUAAUUACAAUUGCAUUGAAUCUGUUGGUAUGGUUUAAGCGGUGGCACUUAGGGUUUUUGGGACAGGGCUGGAACAUGGAGUCGGGUUUAAUUUGCCACUAGUUUUAGGCUUGACAUUCAAACAUUGGGAUGUUGCGGGUUCAGGUCCGGUGUGCUUAAUAUCAAUGUCUGCAAGUUCCACAUUUUGACAUGGCGAAGAACCGCUGCAAAUAAACUUGACAGCUUCUGGAAGCGCAGAUGUGCCACGGAUGUUCUUGAAGCUAAUGUUGCUUAGUUUAACUUUCGAUUCUUCCUGCAUCAACACAACAACGAUUCAAUGAUGAAUUAAAUAUUGUCACUCUAUUAGGAUUUUGAUAAGAAUGUACAUACAUUUAUCUUGCAUUUACUCCAUGGGCAAUAUUUUUGAUCAAUUAGGAUAGGGGAAGAGACAUUGUUCACGAUAAUAUCCUCAAAAUGUACAUCUGAUACUAUCCCAGGAGAUUCGCCUGGCCAAGUUUUGAUUCGAGCUCCAUUCGAAGUAUUAGUGAUGGUGCAGUUUGUGACUUUAACUCCCUCAACUGGCUCUUCAUUUGGGUACUUUCCAAGACUACCGAUACUUAUACCAUGUCCUGGUCCACAAGUUAUAUCUUUUAUGUCCAAAUUUUUAGUGCCAUCUCCGAUAGAAAUACAAUCAUCACCAGUUUUAAUCUCACAUCCAAUAAUAUUUACGCCGUCUGAUUUGCCCAUGUGAAUCCCAUCUGUGUUUGGGCUAUCUGCCGGUGCCUCUACCGUGAAACGUUCGAGGGUAAUGUUUUUGCAUGCAAAAACAUUAACGUGGAAUAGUUUACUGUCUUUGCUAGUUAUAUCUUGUAUCAAUGCGUUGGUCAGAAAGUCAAACCUUAUAUUCUGUUUAAUUUUGGAGUUAACAAAGUAACACACGAAACAAAGAUGUUAGUUAUAAUUAUAUUUUGAUAAUAAUAAGAGGAAAGAGAAUAAAUAAAUUUUGGCAAGAGGGAAGAAAGCUGACAACGGGGAGUUUGACACGAAAUGCACGAUUGUGGGGAUCUUUAUUCUUCUCAUAAGCAAUGCUUCCCUGACCAUCGAAAAUUCCUCCGCCGGACAUUUUGAAAUUUUCAAUACUAUAGAAUCUAACCCAAUUAGGGUCCUUGAAAGCACCAGGAUCAGCCGGAGCCUUUAUAGUGCCCUGAACAUUAAUCUCAAUAGGAGCCUUGCAUGGACCUUCUAAGUUUACUUUUGAUAAUAAAUAUGUCCCUUUAGGAAUCACAACUGUUGAUGGGGUUACAGAGGCACAUGCUUCUUUCCAAGCAUCCAAAAAUGGCUAAAAUGAAAUGAAUAAAGACAUCAGUUUGAAAUAUAAUUUCUUUCAUAUUUUCACCUUUGGGUACAAAGUUAAGAGCAAUUCAACUUGCCUUACUCAAAUCCGUUUUCCCGUCAGCUUUUGCGCCAAACUUGGCAACAACAUCAAUAGCGCCUGAUUGAACUUUAGAGGCUGAAAUGAAUAAUAAUAAAAGCACAAACAUGGAAGGAACAAUAUUAAGGUGUGGUGCCAUGUUUUUAUUUGGUUUUGAAAUUACACGAAGAAUGGCUUUUCCUUUUGUUUUUUUCCAAAUAUAUAGAAAUUUUGAGAAAAUUACAACCAAUCAAAUAUAUUACUAUUUAAUCAAUGUGGAAAAGUCAUAUGGCCAAGCUUCAAUAUCUAUGAUUAGCUUGUUUCUUUAAUAUCAACUUCGCACGGUUAGAUAGUUUUGUGGUUAAUUUUUUCACAACUUUAAUAAUUUAAACUAUGUGAAAGGAUUUUAUUAUGGAAAGAUUGAAAAGCAUUAUUUUACAUUUUAUCUUCAAAAUAAUAUCUUUACUAGAUGGUGGCGAAUAUAAUUAUGUUCCGUUAAAUUUAUCAAUGUUAUUUCGAAAAGUAUAAUCCUAAUUAUUCAAUAAAAAUUGUUGAUACAGUAAUGUGGUUUGGUGGUUGACGAAGGUUCACACCAUAUUGCCGAAAGCAAUUCUGGUGGUUUCUAGCACUCUUCUCAAUCACUGUUUUCCUGGCCCUAUAAUACCUAGUCGAGCUAACGUUCGCCCUGGACUUCAGCCUAAACUUCACCCACGUAACAAUUAUUAGUGAAAACCUGAUGGGCAUUUGACUUCUCUUUCCAAAUAGAUUUACUUUUAUCUUUUAAUUUCCUCAACUUCUCUCAAGCAUCUUGUAAUUUCUUAUCUUCAUCCCCAUCUAACACGUAUCGAAUUUCACAAGGUAUGACUUUUCACCACCAACACCAACCCUUUCAUUAUCACCCUUGUAUGAAUCCUCACGUUCACCUUUACCCUCAUCCCCACCCCUCAUUCUAGAAGAUACAAACUGACCAUGAGAUAAAAUGGAUCGAAUUAGUGGGAAAAUAUUGAACCUAAAUAGAUGAUCGGCAUUCUAUGAUAGUAACCUGCAUUUGACAAGGUAAAUGGACAAAGCUUUACAAGCUUAGCUUUCGUAACAUUAUAUAUUGGGGAGAUCGAUCAUGGUACUUUUAGUAGAUUGAGUCUACAACUAAAUAAAUUCUAAUUAAGAUUUUAUUUAAGCCCUAAUUAUUUAUGUACGAUCGAUCCCUCUGCUAGCUUAAUAUAACUCUAAGUAGAUUGCAUAAUAAGAACUGAUUGAAUGUAUGGAUGCAAAUGAUAUAUUAGAAUUAGAUGGAUGAAUUACUAUUCCAUGUAAAUGCGAUUUCAUGAGAAUGGAAAAGAUGACCCGGAAUUAAUUUAAUUCCGUCGGUUUGUUAUUUAAUUCAAUGAAUAAAUUAAAUAAAUAAGUCCAAAGUGAGGAUUAAAUUAAGUAGUUAACGUAGUUAUAUUUUGUUCAGAUAAUUAAAUUAAUUUGCAUGUAAAUUCUAGUCUGGAAAAGCCUUCAUGAUUCUAACAAAAAUUGAAUGGGGUGUUUUGUAAAUUAAGUAGUGGAAAUAAUUAAAUUUAAUGAAAUAUUUAAUUUCAAAAAACUUAAUUCAUGGAAGAAUAUAUGCUAUUGGGUUAGAUAAUCAUAUGGUCUUGAUUUCUUAUUUAAGUCAAGAGAGGUAGGCUCGUAUAAUUAAACUGGAGAACAAACCACUAAGGUAAGUGUGCCUCCGCACACAAAGAGAAGUUAUCUCUUGGAGUCGCUGGCCAUGGGGUUAAAAAUGUCCUAGUUGGACUUUAGUUCUUCUAUAUUAUUUAUUUUACGUACAUCGGAUACAAAUAUAACUCUUGCAUAUGUUUCUUUAUCAAUACCCAAUUUAUGUAAAAAAAAACCAAGGACAAUAUAUACUAAGAGAAAACUUUGUAGAAAUUUAUUGAAAUAUUAGUUAGAUUCUAUUUUCUUUCAACUCAAAUCAAUUCUAUCGUUUUAGACUUUGUAAUUUAGAUUUUUAAGAUUAUAAUGACAUUCUUCUAAAGAGAAUAAUUGAAUUAUAGGAGUUGUUUUCGAUUGGGUGGAACACAAAGAGGUAGUUGACAUACCUCCUUGAUUAGUCUCGGUUUACGUCUUCUUUUCAGUUUUGGAUAGGACGCAAAGAGCUAGAUGCAUAGUUGCUUGAGAAGUCUCGAUUCACGUCUUGUGCUUUACUUUUUCAGUUACAUCCCACUUUCCAAGCACCUGAGUGUUCAAGAAUAGGGAAGAAAAUCGUUCAGUAGAAAGGUUGAAGACAUUGGACUACUAUUCGAAUUGAUCAAGACAAUGAAGGCAUCUCCCAAACUUUCCUUGCGACUUGGACAUCCCCUAAGCCUUGGACCACAACGAUUAAUUUGAUCAAAUUUAUUACUUUAGAUGUCACGAUAAUGCCCAUUUUACUAUAGAAAUUAAAACUCUAAUGUUCCUACCCUAGCUACUUUUCUAAAUGCAUUUCCAACAUGAACCCCGAAUCAGAAAGAAACCAUGAAAAAAAAGAGUUUCAAGCCAAACACACAAAAAUAAGAAAAAGAGACUAACCUUUGAGAAUCUAAAGGCAAAAACUACACAUCACAUCAACAAAUUUAGGGAUCUUUAAGUGAUAAUCGCAAGAUACCCAAACACUACACUUAAUCUCGAUGUAAAUAUCUCACCUUUCUAAAAAUCUUUAUACAGUUCCACAAAAUGUUCUCUCAUUCUCCUUUUUGGGGUUCAAUUUGUUUAUAUGAAAUAAUUAAACAUAAAAUGGCGUCACAUCAUUAUCGAAUAAUGUGGUUAAUGAGUCCCCAAUAGAUUCGAACAUUCGAGAAGAAAGACGCUGUGCAAGUUUGGAGAAGAAGCUUGGUAGAUUAGAAAAGCGCUAGUUUUGGCCGUGGACUAUAAAGACCUAGUAAUUAUUACUGACCUAUUCAAUUCAGAAAUUAGAGAUCAUUCUUGAUUGUGUUGGAAACAUUCGUUUAGAAAAUGAUUGUUUGGAACAACAAAAAAAAUUAAAAAUUUUACAACCCAAGCAGUUGUCAUAUUUAUAGGGACAAACCCUUUUACCAAAAUCAUACUUGUGCUCUGGAUUAGGCGGUCUAAGUUGUUUCUCAAUAUUCUACCAACACGAUCUUCUCAACUAUUCAAAACCUCGGCUAGUUGCUCUAAUCCAUGAAAGGAAGAAAGCUAUGAAAACUUUCUAUUGAUGUUGGAGUGGCGAAUAUUGAUGUCCCUUUAUGGGCCAAAACUUAAAAAGUAAACAUUCAUAUUUUUAAUUUUUUUUGAAUUAAAUCUCAAUAAAGUUUUACGAUGUCGAUGCUUCACAUCGUGUGUGGUUGACCUAGCCUAUGCUCUCUAUUUAUAGAAAAAUCGCAAGAGUUCUUGGUCGAACAAGAAGAAGAAAAUAUAUAAUAACAUUUUAAAAGAGAAUACACAUAAUUCUCUAGUAGGAAUAUGUAUGGGCUUCAACACCCUCUCUUAGAGAUAGGGUUGUCGCCCAUCUUACGUGGAUGGGGUCAUCGGGUCUAUCUCAUGUAUUUGGUGUUAAUUAUAUGUGUCAUUUAGUAAUUUAAUCGACGCAUAUAAUUUAACCAACCAAAUAAAAAAUUUUCUAUUUCCCAAAAUAUUAAUAAUUUAUUAAUUAAUUGAAAUAAAUUUUACUAAUUCCAACAAUUAAAUUUUUUUCCAACCUAGUUCUAAUUCCGUUAAAUUCAUGACAUAUUUACCACACUAGAAUCUAUGAGUAAAUGAUCUAAUUAUUUUGUUCACCAAGAUUGCGUUAAUUAAUUAAUUUAAUUUUUACUUCAAACACCGGUUCAGUGAUUACUAUUAAUUAAAAUAAUAAUUCGAAUAAAUUAAUUUAGUCUUCAAGUCAUCUCUCUUUUAUAACGAGAAAUUCCAUUCACUACGGAUAGUGAUACAUUCGAUCCUUUUCUGUAAUUCAUCAAUUUUAUUUAUUCACUCAUCAAUUCAAAUGCAAACCAUCAAGGUUGUAUAGAGCUAAUAGAGGGGCCCACUGGAUAUAUAAUUAGAGCUCAAAUGUUUGUACUUAAGUGCCAUGACCGACCUCUUCUUAUUAUAACUCAUUAUGAAACAACUCACCAAGUGCUCGUCCAAUGAAUUUUUCGUAUGUGCUAUAGCCUCAUAGGAUAUCCCCAAUCCCUUUCAUUUAUAUCCGUUCACCCAAAAUGAUAUUAUCAUAUCUCAUGGUAACCAUCACAUCUUCUUUCAUGAAGAUGUUACGUCAACAGAAAAAGAAACAAACCAAUGAACAAAUAUAAUCAUAUGUCUAAGCAACACAAAUAAUACAGGAAUAUGUUGUUCACAAAAUUUGGACGACGAACUUUCAUUUUAAUUAAAAUCUCAAAUUUAAUAUUUUAUUUUUCCUUAAAACUGCUAUGUUGGAAGACGGUUUUUAUAAAAAAUUACACGUAGAUAAAGAAAAUUUCAAUCAUUAAUUCUAAUUCAAUAUAGAAACUCAGUGAUGGUUUUGUUAUUAGGUUAAAUUAACUAAAUUUUAUCACACUUCGGCUCUUUGUAUUGAUGUGUGUAUUAAAAGCAUUGAAUUCAUAGCAAAAGUUUAAUAAUGGAAAAGAAUUAAAAUGAAAAAGAACUGUUUUUAUGUAAUAUGAAUAAAUAUAUUAAUUACAAUUGCAUUGAAUCUGUUGGUAUGGUUUAAGCGGUGGCACUUAGGGUUUUUGGGACAGGGCUGGAACAUGGAGUCGGGUUUAAUUUGCCACUAGUUUUAGGCUUGACAUUCAAACAUUGGGAUGUUGCGGGUUCAGGUCCGGUGUGCUUAAUAUCAAUGUCUGCAAGUUCCACAUUUUGACAUGGCGAAGAAACCGCUGCAAAUAAACUGACAGCUUCUGGAAGCGCAGAUGUGCCACGGAUGUUCUUGAAGCUAAUGUUGCUUAGUUUAACUUUCGAUUCUUCCUGCAUCAACACAACAACGAUUCAAUGAUGAAUUAAAUCAUGUCACUCUAUUAGGAUUUUGAUAAGAAUGUACAUACAUUUAUCUUGCAUUUACUCCAUGGGCAAUAUUUUUGAUCAAUUAGGAUAGGGGAAGAGACAUUGUUUCACGAUAAUAUCCUCAAAAUGUACAUCUGAUACUAUCCCAGGAGAUUCGCCUGGCCAAGUUUUGAUUCGAGCUCCAUUCGAAGUAUUAGUGAUGGUGCAGUUUGUGACUUUAACUCCCUCAACUGGCUCUUCAUUUGGGUACUUUCAAGACUACCGAUACUUAUACCAUGUCCUGGUCCACAAGUUAUAUCUUUUAUGUCCAAAUUUUUAGUGCCAUCUCCGAUAGAAAUACAAUCAUCACCAGUUUUAAUCUCACAUCCAAUAAUAUUUACGCCGUCUGAUUUGCCCAUGUGAAUCCCAUCUGUGUUUGGGCUAUCUGCCGGUGCCUCUACCGUGAAACGUUCGAGGGUAAUGUUUUUGCAUGCAAAAACAUUAACGUGGAAUAGUUUACUGUCUUUGCUAGUUAUAUCUUGUAUCAAUGCGUGGUCAGAAAGUCAAACCUUAUAUUCUGUUUAAUUUUGGAGUUAACAAAGUAACACACGAAACAAAGAUGUUAGUUAUAAUUAUAUUUUGAUAAUAAUAAGAGGAAAGAGAAUAAAUAAAUUUUGGCAAGAGGGAAGAAAGCUGACAACGGGGAGUUUGACACGAAAUGCACGAUUGUGGGGAUCUUUAUUCUUCUCAUAAGCAAUGCUUCCCUGACCAUCGAAAAUUCCUCCGCCGGACAUUUUGAAAUUUUCAAUACUAUAGAAUCUAACUCCAAUUAGGGUCCUUGAAAGCACCAGGAUCAGCCGGAGCCUUUAUAGUGCCCUGAACAUUAAUCUCAAUAGGAGCCUUGCAUGGACCUUCUAAGUUUACUACUUUUGAUAAUAAAUAUGUCCCUUUAGGAAUCACAACUGUUGAUGGGGUUAAAGAGGCACAUGCUUCUUUCCAAGCAUCCAAAAAUGGCUAAAAUGAAAUGAUAAAGACAUCAGUUUGAAAUAUAAUUUCUUUCAUAUUUUCAACCUUUGGGUACAAAGUUAAGAGCAAUUCAACUUGCCUUACUCAAAUCCGUGUUUCCCGUCGCUUUUUGCGCCAAACUUGGCAACAACAUCAAUAGCGCCUGAUUGAACUUUAGAGGCUGAAUGAAUAAUAAUAAAAGCACAAACAUGGAAGGAACAAUAUUAAGGUGUGGUGCCAUGUUUUUAUUUGGUUUUGAAA